RNAcentral lists this long non-coding RNA (860 nucleotides) under Carica papaya (papaya). RNAcentral's name for it is "long non-coding RNA (CPAP_LNC006980)". Lineage: Eukaryota; Viridiplantae; Streptophyta; Magnoliopsida; Brassicales; Caricaceae. The record is from RNAcentral.
UUUCUACUUAUUUUUUAAUAAAAAUAUGUUCACAAAUAAAUAAAAAAAAAUACUAUUUAAAAAGUUAGAAAAUUACAAAAUACUAACUUCAAAAACAUAAUUUUGAAUUCAAAUUAAGAAAAAAAAAACAUGAACAGACCCGACGGAACUCAAUCAAGAGAAAAGAAAAAGAACAACCAAGCCAAAAUACAGAAUAAAACUACAAAUUUCCUAGAAUUAAGUAUUUUAAGUUAAACUGAGAAACACUGAAUAUGUUUUGCUAUUCUUGUGAAAUUAAUUUAAGGGUUUAGAUUGUAGAAGGCUCAGAUUUGAUAUUUGAUCAAGCAAAGAUGAAAGCCGUCGGCUAUGGCUGCAAGAGAUCCGGUUGCCCAUGACGGACCAUCCGGGUUGCCCCGCCAAUGAAACAACUACUUUCGAACCUUGCCCGACGGACACUCUUCGGGUCAACAGAUCCAUCUUCAUCGCCCGAUUGUACCGUCUUUUCCAUUUAGGAAAACCAGAGAGAGAGAGAGAGAGAGAAGGGAAAAAAAAAAAAAAAGAAAAAGAAAAAGCAAUUGAAUUAUACAGUGUUUGCAUGGAGAAAGGGAGGAGGGCGUUGAUUGGGGUUGCGGUGGAAGAAAAUCAUUGGCUCUGGUGUGAGAAAGAAGGCCAAUCCCCUCCCUGAAACUCCCCCUUCUCACUUAACCAUAGCCUCAUUUUUCCCAUCGAGUGUCAAACCCUAGAGCUCCAUUUUUAAUCUACUCUUUAUAAAACCUUGGUUUCUAUAAGGGUAAUUUAGUCAUUCUAUUUUAAUUUCAUGCCCGAAAUACAAGCUUUGAGAAAAACCGAUUAUUAAUCUCCUUUAAAAAUUUAAAGUUUAC